RNAcentral lists this ribosomal RNA (403 nucleotides) under Verrucomicrobiota bacterium. Its description in RNAcentral is "Verrucomicrobia bacterium partial 16S ribosomal RNA". It matches the Rfam family "Bacterial small subunit ribosomal RNA", at positions 355 to 776 of the family's 1533-position model. Lineage: Bacteria; Pseudomonadati; Verrucomicrobiota. The record is from RNAcentral.
UGGGGAAUAUUGCACAAUGGAGGGAACUCUGAUGCAGCGACGCCGCGUGAACGAAGAAGGCUUUCGAGUCGUAAAGUUCUUUUAUAUGGGAAGAUAAUGACGGUACCAUAAGAAAAAGCCCCGGCUAACUACGUGCCAGCAGCCGCGGUAAUACGUAGGGGGGUAGCGUUGUCCGGAAUCACUGGGCGUAAAGGGUUCGCAGGCGGAAAUGCAAGUCAGGUGUAAAAGGCAGUAGCUUAACUACUGUAAGCAUUUGAAACUGCAUAUCUUAAGACGAGUAGAGGUAAGUGGAAUUUUUAGUGUAGCGAUGAAAUGCGUAGAUAUUAAAAAGAAUACCGGUGGCGAAGGCGACUUACUGGGCUCAUUCUGACGCUGAGGAACGAAAGCGUGGGUAGCAAACAGG